This 2960-nucleotide long non-coding RNA is filed under the name Triticum aestivum (bread wheat). Its description in RNAcentral is "long non-coding RNA (TAES_LNC013407)". Lineage: Eukaryota; Viridiplantae; Streptophyta; Magnoliopsida; Poales; Poaceae. The record is from RNAcentral.
CCUUGCAUUUGGCAAUGAAUGGAUUGAAAGAUACCGAUCAUUGCUAUGUUGUGCCAGUUGUCUGUAGGAGCUUGCUUUCGAGUUGUUUUACUACCUUAAGAAGUAUCUUGGUAGUUGUUGAUUGACUUGAGUAGCCCUUAGAAGAGUUUAUUUAUUUUCCUUAAGUAUCUUGCUUGCAUCAAGUGGUUAGAUACUUUUACAUUUUAUAUACCUACGUGUUGCUUGGUUGUGUCCUUCGACUGGCACUUGGGAAAUUACUUGAGCUGCAGUGCACCACCAUGCCUCAUUGAGCUCCCUAAUUUGGCUAGAACAGAGGUCUACAACUAAGGGCUACUGUAUUUACAUUUUAUAUACAUGUGAAAGUUAUCUUUGUGAUUCGCUUCGGUUAGCAUCGAUUUCAAUGCAUAUGUCUUCCUUUCUCUUGUCAGUAGUGCAAUAUACUUCUAUUAAAUGAGAAAUAAUCCAGAGCAAUUCCUUCCAUUGUAUAUGAAGCUCUGCUAGGUUCCGAACAUAAAGAUCUCUUAUUACAGUGUAAACUGCUAGCAGAGCUACAUAGCGGAGUACAGAGUUGAUGUGAAGCUCUGCUAAGUUCCAAACAGAAAGAUCAACCCUAUUCUAAGGUUCAAUAUAUGAUUCUUUCUUUCAGUGUUCUUCCUUGAAAAUAAUCAAUGAUCAAAUCAUCUUCUUAGGUAUUGAUUUUUCUUUCUCAUGUUAAGCUAGCAUUUUGGUGCCGUGUAUUUCUAGAUUGUGCUCCUGCUAACUUGGCCCCCGUACUAAAGAUGCAUGGCUUGAUUUUAAAGUUAUGGUUAUGAACACAAAGCUAAUUUCUUGUGAAUUAAUCCCUAGAAUCUCUCUUUCGGCAGGUUCUUAUUUAUCUAUGCCUAUAUGUUGUUCCAUGAAAAUACAAGUAGACUCCAAGGUGGUGCUGCUUGGAUCUGGGGGAGCACUGGUGAGCCAUCCCUUCUCCGCCACCAUCCCUGAUUUCUUUGUGUGCAGUACAUAUGCAUGUUGUUUUAGAGCUACCCCCGUAUACAUCUGAUUAGUGAUUAACUUGCUGCAAAGAAGCCGUGUAGUCAUGAAAGUUGAACCAUGCCUGAAUUAGAAAUGACAGUUUUGUUGAUUUGCCUACUUUAUCUCAAGAACACGCCAUCCAUUGAUAUUUUCUAUAGAUCUUAGCUUCACUGUUCGAGUCUCUCGUGAGUGCAUUAAUCCCAAUCUGACACAAGAUAUUAUUCUUUGUUCCCCUUUCAUUUUGUUACUUACUUGUAGAGAGAAUGGAUCUUAAUUUUGAUUUUAUGAAUAGCCACAUCAAUUCUCUGAUUGUGGCACACACAAAUAAUUAGCUCUCUUCACUUCGAUUUGAAUUUGAGAGUAAUCAGUAGAGGAUUGGAUUCAUGGUCGCAAGAUCUCUAAGAUCGAUUAACUUGCUUUUAAUAUUAUAUGAAGUUCAAAUCCCUUUAUAUUCCAAGACAAGAAACACUGAGUUGUAAAACUCUGUCAGUGUUGAAUAGUGUAACAAAACACAUAUUGGGAUAAUUCUACUUUAAUUUGUUUGCCAUACUUACCAGCUCACCUGAUUUACCAGCUGUAAGCUUCAUUGAUCCAAAACCAUUUUAGCCAUCAUGAGAUCGAAGUUUGUAGGCCCCCCUUGAAUAAGCUAACGUUUCCACCUUAUUGUGGGUACCACGAAAACAUUAAUAAUAAGAGGCACAAACAAAUAUUAUUUUGUUUGUUUAGAUGAUGCAUUUCGUAACGUAUCAUGCAUUGAAAUAAUGAAUCCCUUGCUAUGUAGUAUUAUUUGUGCAAUUCCAUGCUACUCUGGGUGGAAGUUAUGUAUUAAUACUUUCAGUAUUGAUGGAUGGAUAGAUGUAUUGUGGUAAUAUAUAUUUUUGGGCACCCUGUGUGAUAAUAUUUUGAGAGAGUCUACCUCGAGAGAAUUACAUGAUGCAAGGGGUAUAACUUCGGUUCAGAUUCUUAUACAUAGUUCUCCUUAUAAUGUAGACUGUGACGUAUGAUGCUUCCAUGGCUUAGUUCAAGGAAUGACUGAUGCUAUUUUCUUGCCUAUGGGUUUGGGCUACUAAUUUUUAUUGCCAUAAUUUAUUGUUUGUCAUCUAAAAAGGAUUCAGAGGGAUACAAAGGGUCCUCUAAUUUGCAACCGAUUAAACUGCUUGGUUCCUGAUUCAUAUUUGUUUUUCUAUAUUAUGGACAACCGAUUAAGAAUAUUUACAGAGUAGGAGUCUUCGUUUGAUGCCACAUUUGACAUCACCCAGUUUGUGUGUAGGGUGCUUAAUAAGUUUCUUGAGAUGUAUGCACUGCAUGAAGGAGCACAUUUCUGUCAAUUUUACUAGAGGUCAAGGUUACCUUCAAAUGCAUGUAGUUAUUUGUAAGCUUCAACAGCUUGAAUGCAAUGGAAGUUUGGAUUGAAAGGAUUUUUGGUUGGCUAUAAGGAAGAGAGUAGUUGAUGGCCAUUUGUACUGUUGUUGUGGUCGUCCUUGGCGCAGAAGGGGUGGCGGGGGAGGCACAGAGAUGGGGCAAACCUUUCACUGUGUCUAAUCCACUUGAUUCCAUCAUUUUCUAUGAGAUGCACCAAUGAUUGUAACGAAUCUUCACGCUUUGUACUAAACCUUUACUACUAUGUAUUUUGUUUGCUCCUAUGUCAUGAGAAAUUCCAAAUGUUGGAUUUGUGCCUGGCACAUGCCGCGAGCCGGCUCAGUUGUCCCGGGCCUUGCUUUUGGAACAAAUGUUUGCUUACCUUGCUUUUGCUAUAUCUUCACCAUUUGUGAUGUACCAAACGUUUUCUUAAUCUGUAUGCUCUAAACUCGGUUUUCCUGGGCAACAACUAUAUACCUUACUUUCAGUAUAUCUCUAGUGUUUGUGAUUUGUACAUAACACAUUUGGCUUGACCAGUUAUUCUAAUUUCCUCUGAAUGUACAAAAUGCUAUGUUGGAGUUUUAUGCGUU